Saimiri boliviensis boliviensis (Bolivian squirrel monkey) is the source of this 1439-nucleotide non-coding RNA. NCBI's taxonomy places the organism in Eukaryota, Metazoa, Chordata, Mammalia, Primates, Cebidae. The record is from RefSeq and is a predicted model, not a curated record.
UUCUUUGGAGCAACACUAUGCCUUUGCGACUUAAUCAUCAGCAUUUGGAAUACAGUUUCUUUUGUCUGAGCUCGAACUGAAAGAACCCACAGUCUGUGAGUUCUAGCCAUUUAGAAAAAGGGCAGCUGCCGUAAGACGUGAACUUGGCGUUUGAAAUCAGCAGAGAACGAGGAGUUAGUGUGAGCUUCAUGAAAAUCAUAUGCGUGGUUUUUCCGUUUCCUGUUCUGUAGCUGACAUCAGGGGAGCAAACUGAACACAGGAAAAUGGAAAUCAACAUUUGAAACUUUUAAAUGGAAGCUUUAUUGGGGUUCCACAUAUGGAAGACUGCAGAUAUCAGGAGUGUGUGAUAUAAAUUAAUCUGGAGUGACCAUAUGCUCUGACUGCCUCCCAGGACAAGAAGGAGAAUGUGACCAACACUCCUGAAGGCCUCUUUCCCCUCAAAGAUAACCACUGGCCUGACUCCUGACAUCAUACCUUGGUUUUGCUUCUUUUGAACUUCAUGUAAAUUGAAUCACAUGGCACAACACCCUACUUUUUUCCACUUGGCUUUAUGGAGAUGUUUUCUUUUUGUGACUGGUGGCCACAGCAGGCCCUCCUCUGGACAGGCUGCAGCUUAUCUUCUCCUCACCUUACAAGGCAGCUCACAGAAUGCACCAGAACUUCAGUCAAUUGGUAAUCAACACCGAUUACAGAGAACAGCUUCUCCACCUGGGUAUAAGAUGACUGCUGCUUCAGGCCUUGCUCCCCAUCUAGCCCCAGCUCUGGCCAUGCCCCACAGCAUCCCAUACUCCAGUGAAACCUCCUCAGCAUUCUCAUCAGGAGUCUCAUUCAGAUGGCCCCUUCCUCCGUGACUUCACACCUGCUGUGUGCUUCCAGACUUUGUUCUUGAGCCACAGAUAUUUCCUGAGUGCCUGCCUCUUCUGUGGUAGGUCCUGCUCGCAUGGUGAGAAUACGGCUCACAUGGUGAGAAUACAGGCACAGUUCCUGCCCCCUGAGGGUCACAUUCCAGGUUACUUCAGGAAUCCGUGUAAGAAACUGAGAUGCUGCCUCUUCUGUGAUGUUACACUGGAGAGAAAAAUCCAGACUGGAUAGAAAUGGUGGAUUGAAAGGAAUUCUGGAUGAACACCUAGAAGCUUUUGGUAUUCUGAUAACUGAAUACGUACAUGCUGGGCAAUGACCGGAGAGCUGAAAAGAGAGGAAAAGGGAAAGGCUGAGGGUACAAGAGCUCUGAGCUUGGUGCUUUGGCAAACAAGUAUGAGUUUUGGGGAUACUCAAGGAAGAGAUUCCAGUUAAAGAAAGGAACAGGGCUGAGUUCAUGGGCUCUCUAAAUGGAACCUCAUCUUACAUUCAGCUGUUCUCUGCCUUUGAGUCACACAGAACCACCUGCAGGAAGAACUCCAGAGAAAUUGGGAAGAAAAGGGAGAGAGGGCAGACAAAAG